GCCAGGCAUGUUGGCACGUGCCUAUAAUCCAAGCUACUCAGGAGGCUGAGGCAGGAGAAUCGCUUGAACCCGGGAGGUGGAGGUUGCAGUGAGCCAAGAUCAUGACACUGCACUUCAGCCUGGGUGACAGAGUGAGACCCUGUCUCAA
Molecule: unclassified non-coding RNA, 148 nt
Organism: Pongo abelii (Sumatran orangutan)
Lineage: Eukaryota; Metazoa; Chordata; Mammalia; Primates; Hominidae
Rfam family: Metazoan signal recognition particle RNA
About the family: The signal recognition particle (SRP) is a universally conserved ribonucleoprotein. It is involved in the co-translational targeting of proteins to membranes. The eukaryotic SRP consists of a 300-nucleotide 7S RNA and six proteins: SRPs 72, 68, 54, 19, 14, and 9.
Source: Ensembl